RNAcentral lists this ribosomal RNA (253 nucleotides) under uncultured bacterium. RNAcentral's name for it is "partial 16S ribosomal RNA". It matches the Rfam family "Bacterial small subunit ribosomal RNA", at positions 524 to 776 of the family's 1533-position model. The record is from RNAcentral.
UACAUGUGGGGCAAGCGUUGUUCGGAAUUACUGGGCAUAAAGGGUGCGUAGGUGGUUUGUUAAGUCAGGGGUGAAAUCCCGCGGCCCAACCGUGGAACUGCCUUUGAUACUGGCGAACUUGAGUGCGUGAGGGGUAGGGGGAACGAGCAGUGUAGCGGUGAAAUGCUUAGAUAUGACAUAGAACACCGAUAGCGAAGGCAGCUUGCUACACAAUUAUUGACACUGAGGCACGAAAGCGUGGGGAUCAAACAGG